This 214-nucleotide long non-coding RNA is filed under the name Gossypium barbadense (sea-island cotton). RNAcentral's name for it is "long non-coding RNA (GBAR_LNC004467)". Lineage: Eukaryota; Viridiplantae; Streptophyta; Magnoliopsida; Malvales; Malvaceae. The record is from RNAcentral.
ACUAUGUGGUUUGUAAUAGUAUUUGGCUAUGAAAUAUAUGUAUUUUACGAUGUUUAUGUGCUCAAAAUGAUAAGUUUAUUUAUAUAUGGCUUACUAAGCUUUUGAAAGCUUACUUUGUGUGUGUUUGCAUUGUCUUAUAGAUUAUUGAAACUACUGAAAGCUUGAGGAUCGUCAAGGAUCAUCACCACACUAUCGAACUCUAUUUUGGUACCUU